RNAcentral lists this ribosomal RNA (253 nucleotides) under uncultured bacterium. RNAcentral's name for it is "partial 16S ribosomal RNA". It matches the Rfam family "Bacterial small subunit ribosomal RNA", at positions 524 to 776 of the family's 1533-position model. The record is from RNAcentral.
UACGGAGGGUGCAAGCGUUAUCCGGAUUCACUGGGUUUAAAGGGUGCGUAGGCGGCUAUAUAAGUCAGUGGUGAAAGCCCGCAGCUCAACUGCGGAACUGCCAUUGAAACUGCAUAGCUUGAAUCUGGUUGAAGUGGGCGGAAUACAUCAUGUAGCGGUGAAAUGCUUAGAUAUGAUGUAGAACACCGAUUGCGAAGGCAGCUCACUAAGCCAACAUUGACGCUCAUGCACGAAAGCGUGGGGAGCAAACAGG